ACCCAUUUUUGGCCCCAAAAUAUAGCAGUUUUACAAAAUUGUGAAAAUGUAAUCUUUUAUCUAUUUACUGGAAAGUAGAAUGCUUCUGCUACAUAAAUAUGGGCUGUUUUUGACAAUACAAUGCACAUAUAUCGGGUACUAGCAUCCUUAAGUCAUGCUAAAUUACUGAAAUCUUCACAAUUUUAACAUUUUAGUUAAAUUUUAGACGGUUUCUGUCUUAAAUGAAAGUGGCCGCAUUCGUGAUCAUUCAGAAUAUUGAAAUGUAAGUUGUAUUUGAUGAUAAUA
RNAcentral lists this long non-coding RNA (285 nucleotides) under Mytilus galloprovincialis (Mediterranean mussel). Lineage: Eukaryota; Metazoa; Mollusca; Bivalvia; Mytilida; Mytilidae. The record is from RNAcentral.